UCGAGUUUGGGUCCUUCGGGGCCCCAUCUCCAACCCUGUGUCUACCUUACCAUGUUGCUUCGGCGGGCCCGUUGGGCAACCAACCGCCGGGGGGUCGUUAAUUCACCCUCUGGCCCGCGCCCGUCGAUGGCCAACCAUUCAAAAAUCUUUGUUAAAUCAUGCUGUCUAAGUAUCAAAUUAAAAAUUAAGUAA
Molecule: unclassified non-coding RNA, 192 nt
Filed under: uncultured fungus
Lineage: Eukaryota; Fungi
Description: sequence contains ITS1, 5.8S rRNA gene
Source: RNAcentral